AAACAAAAAAAAUUCAUGUGACUCACUUUAUUGAGGACUUCUAGCACCAGAUUGAAUUGAAGAGGGGAGAGUGGUCAUCCUUGCUUUGUUACACAUCAUUGAUCAUGAUAUUAGCUGUGGACUUUUCAUGAUGGCCUUACUAUAUUGAGAAAGAAUGCUGCAGAAGAAUACAGGAGACAGCCUCAGCAAGAAAGGACUGACUGUGCCAUAUGGAUUUUCCUUAGGCACAUUUAUGGGCAUUCAAGUGGGAGCUUAAGGGAAAUUUGGACCAUACUGGCCAUCACACAGGGAUUUGGGGCCUUUGUGCGUAGACAGUCAACUGAGAAACUGAAACUCUAGAAAAUGCGGCUGGAUAGAAAUAUUUCUGUUGUAUGCUCCAUGACAGCAGAGACUACUUACCCAAAGGUGAGUUUUUCAAUAAGAAAUUAUUGAAAUAAAUGAAUUUUUGGCAUGAAAUGUAAUACCUUCCUAUAAAUCAUUUAAAUAUUUACCUGAAAAUUUUUUUAGUCCUGUUAGUUAACAAUCUGAUCAAUUCAGGUUUCAAAGGAACUUAUCAAGACUUCAAUUAGAGAUUAGACAUAC
This 582-nucleotide long non-coding RNA is filed under the name Callithrix jacchus (white-tufted-ear marmoset). RNAcentral describes it as "lncRNA (ENSCJAG00000086107.1)". Lineage: Eukaryota; Metazoa; Chordata; Mammalia; Primates; Cebidae. The record is from RNAcentral.